Molecule: ribosomal RNA, 264 nt
Filed under: uncultured bacterium
Lineage: Bacteria
Description: partial 16S ribosomal RNA
Rfam family: Bacterial small subunit ribosomal RNA
Source: RNAcentral
UAACCUACGGGACGCAGCAGUGAGGAAUAUUGGUCAAUGGACGAGAGUCUGAACCAGCCAAGUAGCGUGAAGGAUGACUGCCCUAUGGGUUGUAAACUUCUUUUGUCAGGGAGCAAUUGGGUCCACGCGUGGGCUUAGCGAGAGUACCUGAAGAAAAAGCAUCGGCUAACUCCGUGCCAGCAGCCGCGGUAAUACGGAGGAUGCGAGCGUUAUCCGGAUUUAUUGGGUUUAAAGGGUGCGUAGGCGGAAUAUCAAGUCAGCGGU